Camelus dromedarius (Arabian camel) is the source of this 130-nucleotide small nucleolar RNA. The record is from Ensembl. Lineage: Eukaryota; Metazoa; Chordata; Mammalia; Artiodactyla; Camelidae.
AAUAAUAAAUGGCCCGAUGGGGCUUUUUCUUUGGACCUGCAUCGUUGGGUGCACCUUACAAGUAACUAUUUGGCUUCUUUUACUCACAGAACUCCAUGUCAGGUCUGUGGGGAAGAACUACAAGACAGCG